CAGUCGAGCGGAGAUGAGGUGCUUGCACCUUAUCUUAGCGGCGGACGGGUGAGUAAUGCUUAGGAAUCUGCCUAUUAGUGGGGGACAACAUUCCGAAAGGAAUGCUAAUACCGCAUACGCCCUACGGGGGAAAGCAGGGGAUCUUCGGACCUUGCGCUAAUAGAUGAGCCUAAGUCGGAUUAGCUAGUUGGUGGGGUAAAGGCCUACCAAGGCGACGAUCUGUAGCGGGUCUGAGAGGAUGAUCCGCCACACUGGGACUGAGACACGGCCCAGACUCCUACGGGAGGCAGCAGUGGGGAAUAUUGGACAAUGGGCGGAAGCCUGAUCCAGCCAUGCCGCGUGUGUGAAGAAGGCCUUUUGGUUGUAAAGCACUUUAAGCGAGGAGGAGGCUACUUAGAUUAAUACUCUAGGAUAGUGGACGUUACUCGCAGAAUAAGCACCGGCUAACUCUGUGCCAGCAGCCGCGGUAAUACAGAGGGUGCGAGCGUUAAUCGGAUUUACUGGGCGUAAAGCGUGCGUAGGCGGCUGAUUAAGUCGGAUGUGAAAUCCCUGAGCUUAACUUAGGAAUUGCAUUCGAUACUGGUCAGCUAGAGUAUGGGAGAGGAUGGUAGAAUUCCAGGUGUAGCGGUGAAAUGCGUAGAGAUCUGGAGGAAUACCGAUGGCGAAGGCAGCCAUCUGGCCUAAUACUGACGCUGAGGUACGAAAGCAUGGGGAGCAAACAGGAUUAGAUACCCUGGUAGUCCAUGCCGUAGACGAUGUCUACUAGCCGUUGGGGCCUUUGAGGCUUUAGUGGCGC
Molecule: ribosomal RNA, 796 nt
Filed under: Acinetobacter sp. FKYCMO
Lineage: Bacteria; Pseudomonadati; Pseudomonadota; Gammaproteobacteria; Moraxellales; Moraxellaceae
Description: bacterial SSU rRNA
Rfam family: Bacterial small subunit ribosomal RNA
Source: RNAcentral